GACGAACGCUGGCGGCGUGCCUAACACAUGCAAGUCGAACGGAAAGGCCCUGCUUUUGUGGGGUGCUCGAGUGGCGAACGGGUGAGUAACACGUGAGUAACCUGUCCCUGUCUUUGGGAUAACUUCACGAAACUGGGGCUAUUACCGGAUAGGAGAUCCUGCUGCAUGGUGGGGGUUGGAAAGUUUCGGCGGUUGGGGCUAGUCUCGCGGCUUAUCCGCUUGAUGGGGGGGUAGUGGCUUACCAAGGCUUUGACGGGUAGCCGGCCUGAGAGGCUGACCAGCCACAUUGGGACUGAGAGACGGCCCAGACUCCUACGUGAGGCAGCAGUGGGAAAUAUUGCACAAUGAGCGGAAGCCUGAUGCAGCAACGCCGCGUGCGUGAAGACGGCCUUCGGGUUGUAAACCGCUGUCGCCUGUGACGAAGCGUGAGUGACGGUAAUGGGUAAAGAAGCACCGGCUAACUACGUG
Molecule: ribosomal RNA, 468 nt
Filed under: uncultured bacterium
Lineage: Bacteria
Description: partial 16S ribosomal RNA
Rfam family: Bacterial small subunit ribosomal RNA
Source: RNAcentral